This 429-nucleotide ribosomal RNA is filed under the name Pseudomonadota bacterium. RNAcentral describes it as "Proteobacteria bacterium partial 16S ribosomal RNA". It matches the Rfam family "Bacterial small subunit ribosomal RNA", at positions 355 to 776 of the family's 1533-position model. The record is from RNAcentral. Lineage: Bacteria; Pseudomonadati; Pseudomonadota.
UGGGGAAUAUUGGACAAUGGGCGAAAGCCUGAUCCAGCCAUGCCGCGUGUGUGAAGAAGGUCUUCGGAUUGUAAAGCACUUUAAGUUGGGAGGAAGGGCAGUAAGCGAAUACCUUGCUGUUUUGACGUUACCGACAGAAUAAGCACCGGCUAACUCUGUGCCAGCAGCCGCGGUAAUACAGAGGGUGCAAGCGUUAAUCGGAAUUACUGGGCGUAAAGCGCGCGUAGGUGGUUCGUUAAGUUGAAUGUGAAAGCCCCGGGCUCAACCUGGGAACUGCAUCCAAAACUGGCGAGCUAGAGGAGGGCAGAGGGUGGUGGAAUUUCCUGUGUAGCGGUGAAAUGCGUAGGUAUAGGAAGGAACACCAGUGGCGAAGGCGACCACCUGGGCUCAUACUGACACUGGGGUGCGAAAGCGUGGGGAGCAAACAGG